UAUAAGGAUUAAUUUUAUACAGGUCUCUACAAAUAUAGUGAAUGACAAAUAUAAUCCUAUAAAGUUUAACUUUUAUAAGUUCUAAUAUUUUCAAAUAUGUCUCUCUAAUUUGUUAUCGUUAGAGAAUUUUUAGAAAACUGUUUAUAUUUUUAAUUUUGUUAUCACAAAUAUAUUUCUCCAAAAAUUAUAACAGUAUAAUAUAUAUAAUUGACGUAAAAAUAUUAAAAACUAAUUAAGGUUAAAUAUUUAAGCCAUAGUUAGUUAAAGUUUUCUAACGAAUUUCAACAACAGGAGCAUAUUUGAAAAUAUGAGAACUUUUAUAAAAACAAUAUAUUAUGAAAAUUAAAUUUGCUAGG
Molecule: long non-coding RNA, 356 nt
Filed under: Ananas comosus (pineapple)
Lineage: Eukaryota; Viridiplantae; Streptophyta; Magnoliopsida; Poales; Bromeliaceae
Description: long non-coding RNA (ACOM_LNC000168)
Source: RNAcentral